This 235-nucleotide long non-coding RNA is filed under the name Elaeis guineensis (African oil palm). Its description in RNAcentral is "long non-coding RNA (EGUI_LNC023684)". The record is from RNAcentral. Lineage: Eukaryota; Viridiplantae; Streptophyta; Magnoliopsida; Arecales; Arecaceae.
GGGUAGUGAGAUAUCGAGAUUCAUAUCGAUAAAUACUCGAUCUGCAUAUUUUUUUUGUUAGCUGAGAUGUCAUCCAGAUAGAAUGCAAGGGCCUCCUUCAUUCAGGUCGAUAAAAACUCGAGCUAAAUUUGCUAACCGAUCAAUUGAUCUGCUGGGACCUAAUGCUUUCAGAUUGACGUCUCUUUGAUCUCAUAUGAUUAUGCCACGUAUCUCGAGAUUGAUUUAAUGCACCAAU